GACGAACGCUGGCGGCGUGCUUAACACAUGCAAGUCGAACGGAAAGGCCCUGCUUUUGUGGGGUGCUCGCGUGGCGAACGGGUGAGUAACACGUGAGUAACCUGCCCUUGACUUUGGGAUAACUUCAGGAAACUGGGGCUAAUACCGGAUAGGAGCUCCUGCUGCAUGGUGGGGGUUGGAACGUUUCGGCGGUUGGGGAUGGACUCGCGGCUUAUCAGCUUGUUGGUGGGGUAGUGGCUUACCAAGGCUUUGACGGGUAGCCGGCCUGAGAGGGUGACCGGCCUCAUUGGGACUGAGAUACGGCCCAGACUCCUACGGGAGGCAGCAGUGGGGAAUAUUGCACAAUGGGCGGAAGCCUGAUGCAGCAACGCCGCGUGCGGGAUGACGGCCGUCGGGUUGUAAACCGCUUUCGCCUGUGACGAAGCGUGAGUGACGGUAAUGGGUAAAGAAGCACCGGCUAACUACGUG
This 468-nucleotide ribosomal RNA is filed under the name uncultured bacterium. RNAcentral describes it as "partial 16S ribosomal RNA". It matches the Rfam family "Bacterial small subunit ribosomal RNA", at positions 28 to 507 of the family's 1533-position model. The record is from RNAcentral.